Molecule: ribosomal RNA, 430 nt
Filed under: Pseudomonadota bacterium
Lineage: Bacteria; Pseudomonadati; Pseudomonadota
Description: Proteobacteria bacterium partial 16S ribosomal RNA
Rfam family: Bacterial small subunit ribosomal RNA
Source: RNAcentral
UGGGGAAUAUUGGACAAUGGGGGGAACCCUGAUCCAGCUAUGCCGCGUGUGUGAAGAAGGCCUUAUGGUUGUAAAGCACUUUAAGCGAGGAGGAGGGUACUGGUAUUAAUACUACCAGCUACUGGACGUUACUCGCAGAAUAAGCACCGGCUAACUCUGUGCCAGCAGCCGCGGUAAUACAGAGGGUGCGAGCGUUAAUCGGAUUUACUGGGCGUAAAGCGUGCGUAGGCGGCUAAUUGAGUCGGAUGUGAAAUCCCCGAGCUUAACUUGGGAAUUGCAUUCGAUACUGGUUAGCUAGAGUGUGGGAGAGGAUGGUAGAAUUCCAGGUGUAGCGGUGAAAUGCGUAGAGAUCUGGAGGAAUACCGAUGGCGAAGGCAGCCAUCUGGCCUAACACUGACGCUGAGGUACGAAAGCAUGGGGAGCAAACAGG